Molecule: ribosomal RNA, 1232 nt
Filed under: uncultured Actinomycetes bacterium
Lineage: Bacteria; Bacillati; Actinomycetota; Actinomycetes
Description: uncultured actinobacterium partial 16S ribosomal RNA
Rfam family: Bacterial small subunit ribosomal RNA
Source: RNAcentral
UCGCGGCCUAUCAGCUUGUUGGUGGGGUAGUGGCUUACCAAGGCUUUGACGGGUAGCCGGCCUGAGAGGGUGACCGGCCACAUUGGGACUGAGAUACGGCCCAGACUCCUACGGGAGGCAGCAGUGGGGAAUAUUGCACAAUGGGCGGAAGCCUGAUGCAGCAACGCCGCGUGCGGGAUGACGGCCUUCGGGUUGUAAACCGCUUUCGCCUGUGACGAAGCGUGAGUGACGGUAAUGGGUAAAGAAGCACCGGCUAACUACGUGCCAGCAGCCGCGGUGAUACGUAGGGUGCGAGCGUUGUCCGGAUUUAUUGGGCGUAAAGGGCUCGUAGGUGGUUGAUCGCGUCGGAAGUGUAAUCUUGGGGCUUAACCCUGAGCGUGCUUUCGAUACGGGUUGACUUGGGGAAGGUAGGGGAGAAUGGAAUUCCUGGUGGAGCGGUGGAAUGCGCAGAUAUCAGGAGGAACACCAGUGGCGAAGGCGGUUCUCUGGGCCUUUCCUGACGCUGAGGAGCGAAAGCGUGGGGAGCGAACAGGCUUAGAUACCCUGGUAGUCCACGCUGUAAACGGUGGGUACUAGGUGUGGGGUCCAUUCCACGGGUUCCGCGCCGUAGCUAACGCUUUAAGUACCCCGCCUGGGGAGUACGGCCGCAAGGCUAAAACUCAAAGGAAUUGACGGGGCCCCGCACAAGCGGCGGAGCAUGCGGAUUAAUUCGAUGCAACGCGUAGAACCUUACCUGGGUUUGACAUGGAUCGGGAGUGCUCAGAGAUGGGUGUGCCUCUUUUGGGGUCGGUUCACAGGUGGUGCAUGGCUGUCGUCAGCUCGUGUCGUGAGAUGUUGGGUUAAGUCCCGCAACGAGCGCAACCCUUGUUCACUGUUGCCAGCACGUUAUGGUGGGGACUCAGUGGAGACCGCCGGGGCAACUCGGAGGAAGGUGGGGAUGACGUCAAGUCAUCAUGCCCCUUAUGUCCAGGGCUUCACGCAUGCUACAAUGGCUGGUACAGAGAGUGGCGAGCCUGUGAGGGUGAGCGAAUCUCGGAAAGCCGGUCUCAGUUCGGAUUGGGGUCUGCAACUCGACCUCAUGAAGUCGGAGUCGCUAGUAAUCGCAGAUCAGCAACGCUGCGGUGAAUACGUUCCCGGGGCUUGUACACACCGCCCGUCAAGUCAUGAAAGUUGGUAGCACCCGAAGCCGGUGGCCUAACCGUUGUGGGGGAGCCGUCGAAGGUGGGGCUGGA